AGUCGAACGAUGAAGCUGGAGCUUGCUCUGGUGGAUUAGUGGCGAACGGGUGAGUAACACGUGAGUAACCUGCCCUUGACUCUGGAAUAAGCGUUGGAAACGACGUCUAAUACCGGAUACGAGCUUCCGCCGCAUGGUGAGGAGCUGGAAAGAAUUUCGGUCAAGGAUGGACUCGCGGCCUAUCAGGUAGUUGGUGAGGUAAUAGCUCACCAAGCCUACGACGGGUAGCCGGCCUGAGAGGGUGACCGGCCACACUGGAACUGAGACACGGUCCAGACUCCUACGGGAGGCAGCAGUGGGGAAUAUUGCACAAUGGGCGCAAGCCUGAUGCAUCAACGCCGCGUGAGGGACGACGGCCUUCGGGUUGUAAACCUCUUUUAGUAGGGAAGAAGCGAAAGUGACGGUACCUGCAGAAAAAGCACCGGCUAACUACGUGCCAGCAGCCGCGGUAAUACGUAGGGUGCAAGCGUUAUCCGGAAUUAUUGGGCGUAAAGAGCUCGUAGGCGGUUUGUCGCGUCUGCUGUGAAAACUGGGGGCUCAACCCCCAGCCUGCAGUGGGUACGGGCAGACUAUAGUGCGGUAGGGGAGAUUGGAAUUCCUGGUGUAGCGGUGGAAUGCGCAUAUAUCAGGAGGAACACCAAUGGCGAAGGUAGAUCUCUGGGCCGUUACUGACGCUGAGGAGCGAAAGUAUGG
RNAcentral lists this ribosomal RNA (693 nucleotides) under Salinibacterium sp. C2W-9. Its description in RNAcentral is "bacterial SSU rRNA". It matches the Rfam family "Bacterial small subunit ribosomal RNA", at positions 60 to 764 of the family's 1533-position model. Lineage: Bacteria; Bacillati; Actinomycetota; Actinomycetes; Micrococcales; Microbacteriaceae. The record is from RNAcentral.